Molecule: RNA transcript, 2712 nt
Organism: Papaver somniferum (opium poppy)
Lineage: Eukaryota; Viridiplantae; Streptophyta; Magnoliopsida; Ranunculales; Papaveraceae
Gene name: importin subunit alpha-1a-like
Exons: 4
Source: RefSeq, a predicted model, not a curated record
UAAAAUAACAUAACCUACCACUUCUCCUUCUUCUUCUCCUCCCAGCUCUCGUUACUAUCGUCCAACCACCAUAAAAAACCAAAAAAUUGUGUCUUUCUCUCCUUUCCCAUGAGAAGAAAAUACCUAAUUUUAAACUUCAAUUCUUCAUCGCAUACUCGAUUGUUCCAACCCUACGAGAGAAUCAUUCCUACCUUCUAUCAAUCAUUCGCUUUAAAAAUCCUAAAUCGUGUUAACCAACUGAACCCUAAAUACCAUCAAAAUUAAAUCAAAACCGAACCAAUUGUUUUGAGUUUUCUCCUGAUUCUUUAUUCUUGUUCUUCUUCUUCAGCGAAACCUGGAUGAUGAUUAGUCCUGUUACAAACCCUAGAUAAUAAAAUUUCAUAGGGUAAGGGAUAUCUCCUAAUUUGUUUCCUUCUCUUAUAAAUCUAAAAUUCUUCUAAUUUAUGUCUGAGUCUGGCUGUUUUAUUUCUUGUUCAUUAUGAUUUUGUAAUUCAAUUUUGAAAUCUAACCUGUCUUAGUUUGAUUUUUCCUCAUUUAUGGACAUGGAUUUCGUAAUUGCAUGAAUUGAUGAUUAUAUAGAUGGCAGAAGAGGAAAAGGAAAAAUAUAAGAGAAUAAGAUCGAUAGAAGUGGUGGUGGUGGUUUUUAAAUUUCAUCAGAAAAAGAUGAACAUCCUAAAGAUUGGUAGGAUGGAGUUAUCUACAAGGACUAUUGGUAUUGGUUUUCGUUUAUGUUAUUAUACAUCUGCCUUAUGUAUUCAUGGAUUAUUGACUUACUGUUAUGGUUUAUGUAAUAUCAAUGAUCUUGUUUGUUGUGUUAUUUUGAUUUUGUUUCAUAUUGAUAGAAUAUAGACACAGCUAUACUGUGUAACCAAAUUGGAAUCUCCUGAGGUUAUAUAUAAAAUGUUUUUGUUCUGUGAAGUUGAUGAAACUGCAGUGUCUCAUCAUAUUCAGAUUAAAGCUUUAUCUUUGAAGUAACUUCGUGCGAACUAUAAGAAUGUUCUGGGAUUCUGGCAAUACAGUCUUUACUUUCGUAAGUUUCUUUAGCAGCUGUAGCUUUUAUACAAGGCUUAAAUUUUGGGUAUAUAUAUAUUUUAGAGCUCUUCUUAUCUUUUUUUGAUCAGCUUUAGAGCUCUUCUUAUCAAGAGGAUUAUAUCUUUCCAUCUUAUAUGAUUGAUCUGAAUUUCUGUAUUCCUUUAAUGACCUCGUAUUAUUUAUGGAUAAACCCAAGACUUUUGAUUGAUGAAGUGAUCCAGUCAGGCUUAGUUCCUCGUUUUGUUCAGUUUCUUCAGAGGGAGGACUUUCCACAACUUCAAGUGGAUACUUGCUCUGAAAUUGAGUUAGGUUUUCCUCUUCUUUAUAUUGGAAUACAAUUAAUUAAGUAAAUAACGAUUUAGUGAAACAUUUUAGCUUUCUCAUUCUUUUGUAUGCACUGAUUUAUCAUGAUUUUGAUUUUUGAACAAUUUGAGGUGGCUCUGGCUCUAAUGAACAUUGCUUCUGGAACCUCAGAGAAUACCGAAGUGGUCAUUGAGCAGGGAGCUAUCCCAAUCUUUGUGGCGCUUCUCAGUUCCCCCAGUGAUGAUGUUCGAGACCAGGUAACUUGAUAAUAAAGACAUAAUGAGUGGAGUUUCUUUAAUAUUAUUUCUUAUUUGUAUAACUUGGCUUGAUUUUUCUAAUUUAAAGGAUGAGAUGAGGUGAAGCUACUUUCCAUGUGUAAGCAAAUGGGGCUUAAGACUAACAAUUUCGUGUUUCUUUAAAAAAAAAAGUCUAGGCUGUAUGGGCACUUGGAAAUGUUGCCGGCGAUUCACCUAAAUGUCGAGAUCUUGUUCUUGGCCGCGGGGCCUUGAUUCCUUUGUUAAAUCAAUUAAAUGAGCAUGCCAAACAUUCUAUGCUGAUAAAUUCUACCUGGAUUUUAUCUAAUUUUUGUUGGGGCAAGCCACAGUCGCCAGUUACAACUACUGUUAGGGUGGUUUACGGUGUCCUGCUUGGCAUCCCUAAUAGAAACUAAAUUUUCUUUGUUGGUCAAUUCCUUGUACAGACAAAGCCUGCACUCCCUGCUCUUAAGCGUCUUAUUAAUUCCACUGAUGAAGUACUUACAGACUCGUGCUGGGCGCUUUCUUAUAUGACGGUACAAAUGAAAACCAAGCUGUUAUUGAGGUUGGUGCAUGUCACCGACUUGUUGAGUUACUGUUUCACCCAUCUCCUACUGUACUCAUUCAAUAUUGUUACUGGAGAUGAUCGUCAUCCCCAGUAAUGUUUGAGAUAGUCCAUCUUCUCAAAUUUAUAAACAUCUAGUGCUUGGUAGAAAAAGGGGAGUUUCUCCUAUUUUUACUUAAAAAUGUCGACGUGUAUCCAUCUUCUCUUCAGUCUGCAACAAAUUCAUUCCCUACUGAUAUUAUAAGACUGGAUGAAGAUAUCAUGUCACCUCUUGCUGGGAGGAGAAGUAACUUCAUACUUAUGAGAGGCUAUAUUUCUGGAAACACAUCUAAACUCCUGGAUAGACCAAUCUGCAAGUGAAGGAAUGUUAUGUCAUCCAUCUGUUUGUCAUUUUAAUUUUAUUUUUAACCUUCAACUAUGUCAUUUGUUGGAAACUCAGCACUAGAGUUGAAUUUCUGUGGUGUUAAGAUUUUCUGUGUUGCUUGAAUGUAAUAAAUUUAGACCUUGUAAUUCUUUUUUGAAUGAAUAAAUGAUGUUGUUGGAAAGAUCGCAGUGUAA